This 215-nucleotide ribosomal RNA is filed under the name uncultured bacterium. RNAcentral's name for it is "partial 16S ribosomal RNA". It matches the Rfam family "Bacterial small subunit ribosomal RNA", at positions 120 to 334 of the family's 1533-position model. The record is from RNAcentral.
AGGAACCUGCCUUGGAGAGGGGAAUAACACUCCGAGAGGAGUGCUAAUACCGCAUGAUGCAGUUGGGUCGCAUGGCUCUGACUGCCAAAGAUUUAUCGCUCUGAGAUGGCCUCGCGUCUGAUUAGCUAGUAGGCGGGGUAACGGCCCACCUAGGCGACGAUCAGUAGCCGGACUGAGAGGUUGGCCGGCCACAUUGGGACUGAGACACGGCCCAG